AAAAAAUAUAAGAGAGGCCAAAGUUCAUCAAUAUUGCAUUAAUUUUGUUGCCUUUUUAAUCGUUUAUUCAAUAGAAUGAUUAAGGAAAGAAUAGCUUUUGUUGUUCUUUUCCU
This 113-nucleotide non-coding RNA is filed under the name Pteridomonas danica. Lineage: Eukaryota; Dictyochophyceae; Pedinellales. The record is from RNAcentral.